UACGGAGGGGGCUAGCGUUGUUCGGAAUUACUGGGUGUAAAGGGUUCGUAGGCGGUGUGGCAAGUCGGGAGUGAAAUCUCGGAGCUUAACUCCGAAACUGCAUUCGAUACUGCCGUGCUUGAGGACUGGAGAGGAGACUGGAAUUUACGGUGUAGCGGUGAAAUGCGUAGAUAUCGUAAGGAAGACCAGUGGCGAAGGCGGGUCUCUGGGCCACUACUGACGCUGAGAAGCGAAAGCAUGGGGAGCGAACAGG
This 253-nucleotide ribosomal RNA is filed under the name uncultured bacterium. Its description in RNAcentral is "partial 16S ribosomal RNA". It matches the Rfam family "Bacterial small subunit ribosomal RNA", at positions 524 to 776 of the family's 1533-position model. The record is from RNAcentral.